Molecule: unclassified non-coding RNA, 200 nt
Filed under: soil metagenome
Description: partial contains internal transcribed spacer 2 and large subunit ribosomal RNA
Source: RNAcentral
UGCCUGUUUGAGUGUCAUGAAGACUCAUCCCUCUGGGUUUCCCAGAGUGCGAUGGAUUUGGGCGUCUUGCCAUUAGCCUGGCUCGCCUUAAAAACCUAAGUGGUCACAGGACGUAAUAAGUUUUCGUUCAGAGGCUGCUCAUAACACCUAUUACAAUGUAAUCUGACCUCAAAUCAGGUAGGACUACCCGCUGAACUUAA